This 478-nucleotide ribosomal RNA is filed under the name uncultured bacterium. Its description in RNAcentral is "partial 16S ribosomal RNA". It matches the Rfam family "Bacterial small subunit ribosomal RNA", at positions 28 to 523 of the family's 1533-position model. The record is from RNAcentral.
GAUGAACGCUGGCGGCGUGCUUAACACAUGCAAGUCGAACGAUUAAAGCCCCUUCGGGGGUGUAUAGAGUGGCGAACGGGUGAGUAACACGUGGGCAAUCUGCCCCUCACUUAGGGAUAACUCAGGGAAACUUGAGCUAAUACCGGAUACUCCGAACUGAUCGCAUGGUCGGUUCGGGAAAGCUCCGACGGUGAGGGAUGAGCCCGCGGCCCAUUAGCUUGUUGGUAGGGUAACGGCCUACCAAGGCGACGAUGGGUAGCCGAGCUGAGAGGCUGAUCGGCCACACUGGGACUGCGACACGGCCCAGACUCCUACGGGAGGCAGCAGUGGGGAAUUUUGCGCAAUGGGCGAAAGCCUGACGCAGCAACGCUGCGUGCGGGAUGAAGGCUCUCGGGUCGUAAACCGCUUUCAGCAGGGACGAAAUUGACAGUACCUGCAGAAGAAGCCCCGGCUAAAUACGUGCCAGCAGCCGCCGUAA